AAUACAACAAUUGGGAAAAGUUUUUGAACUUUAUUCAAACUUCUUCUAAAAUGAAUGCGUUUGAUAUCAUCAAUCCGAAGGAAACUCAGGAAAACAGUCUGCCAAAUGGAAUGGAAGUUUUGAAGCAUGAUGAUAAUGCGUUCUCUAAUCAGUAUACAAGUGGAAAGUCUUUUGAUGAGUUGGAGGAGAAAAAAGUGGACGAGAAUACCGAGAAAGGAAUACGGUUUUCGGUUGAUUUUAAGCUUCAUCCGGAUGCUGUUAAGAAAUUUGAUUCCGUUGGUCAACAGAUUCGAUCCAAUUGUUGCGUUGUUCAACAUAAUCUUGUCAUGCACUCUUUCGUGUAUUCUCUUGCCGUUGUCAAGGAUUGCAAGCAAGAAGGUUCCAAUUUUAUUCGAUAAAAUGAGGAUUGGUCUAAACUAGAAUCGUAGGACCUAGUAAGAGGAACAUCUAGAAUGAGCGAAAGAAAAUGAAACUACUUCGAUAACUAUUUGAUACUAUUUGAACUAAAAUGAGACACUCAAAAUAUUUAUUGAAAUGUCGCGCAGCCUAGUUAUUUUAAAGUUAGGCUUAUUGCCAUUUCAGGGUUCCUGUGUAAGUUCAGUGUACUCCCAGUCAGUCAUACAUAUCGUUAUCCAAUUGAAAUGAAGAAAGGAGGUGUACCUGUUACUUUCAAGCCGGAAGUUCCAGAAUUGAAUGAUGUCAAGUUCACAGUGAACAAUGAAAUGUUCUUUGAUCUUAUUAAAGAUGACAAUGGAUCCUAUUCAUGUGAUACACUUGUAACUCUUGAUUCGUUCAAAACAAUGACCAAGAAUGGUGUUGCCAUCAUUAAUGUUGGAAUGACUAUUGGGAAGGAAUACUUUGAAAUUGGAAACUAUGUCAAUCUGAACUUGAAAGAAGCUCAUGUGGUUCCCAAUUCGUACAAAAUUCUGGAUAAAAUCUUUACGGGUGAGAAAGUUCCACAAUGUGAUUGGGUUUUCACGGUGAAAGAUGGAUCUCCGAGUGAUUUUCAUGUGCAUGGUCCAGUACUUGCCGAUUCGAGUAUUGUUAUGAGAGCUGCAGUGGUGAGCCAUAUGAGCAUUGGUCCACAGAUUGCAAUGAUAUCUCAUGAAAAUCGCUUGAUCUUCAAUACUUUGAAAUCAAGAGAUAUGCAUGUGAUUCUCACUUACAUUUACCAUCGUCGUUAUGUACUUCCUGACUUUGACGCCGUUUCUCGAGUUGGACAGAUUCUAUCGCUUCUCUUCAGAGAUGAAAUCCCAAAGUUUUUCGAAAGUUGGGAAGCUGAUCUGAUUAAGAAAGUCAAAACUCUUGAUCGUUCGGAUACUCUGAAGACCGUGGCUGAAUGCGUGAGAGCCCUAAUCCGCGUCAUGUCUGCUCCGCAUGGCUCAAUGCUUGGAGCCUACAACGUAUCUCUCAUUGUUGCAGCUGAUGCAUGGCAAAUGGCUGAAGCAAAAGGAAAGAAAGUGAAGAUUGAGAAAGUGAAGAAGGAGAUUGGAGAAUCGUGGACAUUGAUUGAUUCGAUUUUGGAAUUGAUCGACGAUUUCAAGACAUCGGUUUGUGGAACGGAGAAAGUUCAAUAUGUCUGA
RNAcentral lists this unclassified non-coding RNA (1583 nucleotides) under Caenorhabditis elegans. Its description in RNAcentral is "Non-coding transcript of protein-coding gene ZK418.2b". Lineage: Eukaryota; Metazoa; Nematoda; Chromadorea; Rhabditida; Rhabditidae. The record is from RNAcentral.